Molecule: RNA transcript, 4877 nt
Organism: Onychostoma macrolepis
Lineage: Eukaryota; Metazoa; Chordata; Actinopteri; Cypriniformes; Cyprinidae
Gene name: CD209 antigen-like
Exons: 5
Source: RefSeq, a predicted model, not a curated record
ACAUUAAGAAAAAAGUUCUUUUAAGAACUGUUAACUGAAAGGUUCUUUGAGGAACCAAAAAUGGUUCUUCUUCGACAUUUAUUUUUAAGAGUGUAAGCAGCAUCUUCAGACACCUGAGGUUCAUCCUGCAUGAAAAGCGAAACUAAAGACUGAAUAUAGUGGGUUGUAGAGGCACGUCGGCGGUAUGCAUGAUGCGAUCGCACCGGAUCUAUGGGUGUGAGACCAGGAGGACUCAUCCUCCCUGAUGCACAAAGCAUCCCUUCAUGAGCAGCUCUAUUCUCUCCAUUGUGAGCGCUGGUUUUAGGGCCGUCUCAAGCUCUCCCUCUCUCAGGCCUGUCACUGGAGCUAAAUGACUUCCCUGUCAUCAGCUGAACCCACAGCCGGUUCAGCUGCAGGCAUUCAGGCAAGCUGAGCUGACAGCUCGCUCCUGAUCACAGAGGCUCACAGAGGCACAUCUUAAAUGGUAUGCAGUAAAUUAAAUGAGGCUGAGUUAUAUUAUGUGGCCUUAAUGGGAAAACAUUACCUGUCUGUCAAAACUAGAAUGCCACAUUGUCUAAAAGCAAUGACACACUGAAUAUGUGUGUGUGUAUGUGUGUGUGUGUGUGUGUGUGUGUGUGUGUGUACCUGGUAUUCACUAUAUUAUGGUUACAUAAUGUAGGUUCCCUACAUUAAGUUUAGUAAUACCAGUAAAUUUUGACCUUGUGGGGACAUUUUUGGUCUCCAUGAGGAAACAAGCUUAUAAAUCAUACAGAAUGAAGUUUUUGAAAAUAUAAAAAUGCAGAAAGUUUUUUGUAAGAUGUAGAGUGAGGAUAAGGGGAUAGAAAAUACAGUUUGUACAGUACAAAAACCAUUACGCCAAAGGAAUGUCCCCAUAAUGAUAGGACCAGUUUGUGUGUGUGUGUGUGUGAUAUGUUAAUUUCAGUGUUGUUUUCAUGUUAUUUUCGGGGGUUCGUGAAAGUUUGUAUAAUUGGUUUGAGAACUGAUCGUUGAACUAAGAAACUUUGCAAAAAAAUUAAAAAGAUAAAUAACAGAAGUAUAAAUUCUGUUUGUUUUGACAGAAAUGAAUGAUUUUAUUCAGCAAGGACACAUUAAAUUGAUCAAAAGUGACAGAAAAUACUUUUUUAUUGUUACAAAAAAAAAAUCUAUUUCAAAUAAAUGCUGUUCUUUUAAAUUUCCUAUUCAUCAAAGAAUCUCUUAAUAAUUGUAUCACAGUUUCCACAAAAUAUUAGGCAGCAACAGUUUGAAACAUUGACAAUAAUAAUAAUAAUAAUAAAUGUUUUUGAGUAGCAAAUCAGUAUAUUAGAAUGAAGACUGGAGUAAUGAUUCUGAAAAGAUAGAUUGACAUCACAGGAAUAAAUUACAAAUAAACUAUAAAAAUGAGAAUUGGAGAAAGAGUUUUCUUAUUGUAUUUUAAACAUAAAUUUUGAGUUUUAAGUCAGCAAACAAAUGAAACAAUUGUAUUAUCUAAAUGUACCAUCUGGGGGCAGUAGCUCUUGUCUAAACCAUACAGUCUAUGGUCUAAACGGAACAUGAAGUGUCAAGACACAUGUUGAUAUGUGGUUUACAGGGGACUCUCCACAGGCAUAAUGGUUUUUAUACUGUACAAACUGUAUUUUCUAUCGACACCAACCCUACACCUUAACCUACGCCUUACAGAAAACUGUGCAUUUUUAGAUUUGAAAAAACAAAAAAACAAAAUGUAUUAUGUUUUUUUUUUAAUCCUUUUGAAUUAUGGAGACAUAGGCUGUGUCCUCAUGAACCACCUUCACAUUGUAAUACCUCUGUCAUACCCAUGUCAUUAUACAAAUUUGUGUCCUCAUAAACCACCCAAACACAAACACACACACGCACACGCACACGCACACGCACACGCACACGCACACACACACACGCACACACACACACACACACACACACACACACACACACACACACACACAAACACACGUUUGUUUUUUGUGAAUUGUGGGGACUUUCCAUAGACUUCUAUUACUUUCCUAUUGACCAAACUAUAUUUUCUAUCCCCUAACUCAACCCUACACAUACCCCUUACAGAAAACCUGUUUGCAUUACACUUUCAGAUAAACAUCAUUUACUAUUUUUAAUCAUUUUUUCCCCUCAUGGGGUCCCCACAAUGUCAAAAAUUUGGUCAUUACAUUUGGUCCCCUCAAUGUAGCAUAAACAAGUACACACAAACACACACACAACACAAUGUUUGUUUUUGUGAAAAGUGGGGACAUCCCAUAGGUGUAAUGGUUUUUAUACUGUACUUACUGUAUGUGCUAUUGCCCUACACCAAUCCUACACCUAAACCUACCCCUUACAGGAAACUUUCUGCUAUUUCAGAUUUUCAGUACACUCCAUUCUGUGUGAUUUAUAAGCGUUUUGAAAAGUGGGGACAUGGGCUAAUGUGCUGAAAAGUCACCUUCUCUUUGUAAUACCUAUGUCAUACCCUUGUCAUUAUACAAAUUGAUGUCCUCAUUUGUCACAAAAACGCGCACACACACACAAACACACACACACACAUUUCCAUUCUGCCUCCGGAUUAAUGUGAUUUGAGAAUUUAAUAGUGCAUCAAAUUACUUAAUAGGUUUUUUUUUUUUUGGUUCGUGGUUUGUUGGUUUUACACUUGAUCUUGGUGUCAGUAUAUUUAUAUUGUUUACUUGAAGACUAGUCCUGUUUGAAAUGUCUGGAAUCAGAGUUUAAUGUCCAUUAAACCAGGAUUCUGUUUAAUGAAUAAGAAUCUGUCCCUGUGCAUGGCAAGAAAGCAUGAAAUUUGUAAGUGUGUGUGGUUUGUGGUCAGUUCUUCAGCAUUCGUUCUCACUCACAGGCUAAUGGUUAUUAUACCUCAAAAGUUGAUAUUGAUCAAAAUAUGACAUCCUGUGUAUGCCGCUCACAUGCUCAUAACUCAUCUUAUUCUUGAUUUCAAUUUGGUCAGUGCUGAAAAUGAGAAAGGAACAUUUUAAUGAUGUUGCAAAGUCUGCUCAGGUUAAGGCUUUAUAGUUAAAUAUUUUACAUUACCCAAAACAGCAAAAGUACAGCUAGCAGACUGAGAAGGAAAUAUGAGACGACCACAAAUGAUCCACCGACUUCAACUUGACACUAGGAACAUCUGCUGUGGGUGUCUGAACUUGUAAAAGUGACUUACAGUUAGAGCUGCAGGAACACCACAUUUCUGUUCAGUUCAGAUCUUGAGAGCUUUGUACCCUUUUCUUGUAAUAUGGUGUAUAAAUAGUCUCAAUAUGGCCUGUGGCUUUUGUUGAUGUAUUAAAUGUGCCAAAGAUACUGUAGACUAAGUAACUCUUUGUGCCUAAACAGCACAGCAAAGAGUUAUGUAACUAUGGCUUUCAAUUGAUGAAACAUUUACUUAUUUGGAUGUAAUAUAUAAUUAAUUUGGAAUAUGCAUCCUAGUGCUCUAUUCUUACUAUUUAUAAAAAAAAUACCUAAUUAGGUUAAUUUAUAAUUCUGUGUCUCAUUGUUUUAGACACAGAAUGUCAUUGAUUACACUGAUUGUCUUAAAGUAUUUAAUGUUUCGACAAUUUAAUAAUAUUGUAUUAAUCCUGACUGUACUAACUUUUUUCUUUUUCUUUUCUAGUCCCUCCUUAACUGUUCUUCACAGAGUCCACACACUCUAAGAUACAUCAAAAGAGUUUCCAGACAUUAUCUCAUUUCAGAAAUUGAAAACUUUUCCAAUAAUGGAAAGCAGCAAGGACAUCUCAAUGGACAAAUCUACAGUUGUUAUCCAGUUAAAUGCACGGGUGACACAAGGCGGGGUUAUUUGUGAUGAGGGACAGGAGGCUGGUGGAGAAAAUCAAUAUGCAGCUCUUAAAGGAUUUUUCAAAGCAGAACCAAAGGCACUGGCGGUAAUGCAUUGAAGGAUGAAUUAGAAUUAUAUGAUGUAUGGUUUGGAAAAUUAUCUGUUAAUAUAAAUUCGACUAGAUCGCUGUGUCCAAACAUGCCAUGAUGAAUAUAACAUCUGACCUUCAUCUGCCCUCUAGAUAGUCCAGAUAAUGGUUGGACUGAUGGUCUUCUUUCUUGGUAUUGUACUCAGCACCAGUGUCCCUGAAUACAAUUACUUAGCUGUUCUUGAAUAGUGGCAUAACCUACUGGGGAUCCCUUGUUGUUAGUUUCAUUUAAUGGUUUUGGUUUUUUGCUUCUCAUUUCGAGGAAUCUUUAAAAUGUCCUGUGUUUCCUUCUCAGUACAUCAGUGCUGGAUCUCUGUCUGUUGCUGCGCAGAAUAAACGUAGUCCGUGCCUGGUGAAAGCCUCUCAGGAAAUGAAUAUUUUCAGCACCCUAAUUGCAAUGAUAGCCAUUCUUCUGAUGAGCUUGCAGUUAGCAUUUAUACCAACAAAUCGUUUGUAAUAUUGGCAUUCACCAUCCUUCAGUUCAUCAUCUCCAUCUGUAUCUCAACAUUUGCCUGCAAAGCCAUCAGCUAAACCAACUCUUCAGUAGUAAAUGUGGCACUAAACCAGGGAAACUGAGUCACAGUGAAGAGAUCAAAGGCUGCAGGAAAUUCAUAUCUCACAUUGUUGCUUUUUUUUAUCUGUUCUAGUGUUACAGUGAUGUAUUCAUGCAUAUUUGUUUAUGUUUGACAUGGAGAAAAAGAUUGUAUUUGUUAACCAAGUUUCCGAAUGAGUAUAUUCUGAAAGUCUUUUAAGACCCGUUUUGGGGAUAACAAGUAUGUGAGUUAUGUAACUUGUCACACACUCAUUGUUUGGAUCCUGUUUGUGUUGUGUAGUAAAUUGGUUGUCAUGGUUGUUCAUCUGACUUCAUCAUUAUGUUCAGGUGUGUGUCUCCCCUACUUAAGUGUUUGAUUGUUGGGUCUUGUCUCUGUGUAGUUGUGCUGCUGUACUGUUGGAAUUACUCUGCGGAGUAUU